GUCACACUUCCAUCUCCUCACUAUCACCAUUUACAUAACCCAAACCCAAAUCGCCCUCUGCAAAAUCUGUUACGGUCGUUCUUUAUCGAUCUUUGUAUGUUCAGAUCGACCAACGAAUCUAUGUUAUGAAGGUGUGUUUGUGUGAGAGACGUUUCUGCUAUAAGAUCCCAUGGUGAUUAUCUUUUCGUUCAUGUUGGAAUUGGUGGUCUCGAAAUUUUAGAUUUGGAUAAUAUAUCAUGGUUAAACAGUAAAACCAAGAAUCAAAAAAGUGUUCUAUGGAUUCGAAAAAAGGUACGAGCAAGCCAUCGGGAUCGAAGAGGAAGCGAUAACCAGCAAUUUCGAAACCGGGUAGGUGUUUUAUUGGGGAUUUGAUGUUAAGUCAGUGUAUGGUGGUCAAUGGUGUCCAUUGAUGUUUGUGAUGUCCUUAACAACCCGGUGAUCAGCUAUAGGGUUUUAUGUUGUGAUCUAAAGUGUUUAAUAGCGUGAUGUAGAUGGUGUGAUAGUGUUAUAUAAGUCGAAUAUAACUGUUUUAUACAUGUAGUGUUAUAUGCAAUUCGGAUGGGUAUUUUAAUGGGGGUUUGAUUUUAAAUCGGUCUAUGGUGGUCAACGGUGUCUAUUGGUGCUCCUCUUGGUCUAUGCAAUUACAAAGUGUUUUAUACUUGUAGUGUUAUAUGUAAUUAUGAUGG
Molecule: long non-coding RNA, 686 nt
Filed under: Helianthus annuus (common sunflower)
Lineage: Eukaryota; Viridiplantae; Streptophyta; Magnoliopsida; Asterales; Asteraceae
Description: sRNA HanXRQr2_Chr12g0527631
Source: RNAcentral